RNAcentral lists this ribosomal RNA (724 nucleotides) under Carassius carassius (crucian carp). RNAcentral describes it as "partial small subunit ribosomal RNA". It matches the Rfam family "Bacterial small subunit ribosomal RNA", at positions 513 to 1533 of the family's 1533-position model. The record is from RNAcentral. Lineage: Eukaryota; Metazoa; Chordata; Actinopteri; Cypriniformes; Cyprinidae.
CACCGCGGUUAGACGAGAGGCCCUAGUUGAUAUUACAACGGCGUAAAGGGUGGUUAAGGAUAAAUAAAAAUAAAGUCAAAUGGCCCCUUGGCCGUCAUACGCUUCUAGGCGUCCGAAGCCCUAAUACGAAAGUAACUUUAAUGAACCCACCUGACCCCACGAAAGCUGAGGAACAAACUGGGAUUAGAUACCCCACUAUGCUCAGCCGUAAACUUAGACAUCCAACUACAAUAGAUGUCCGCCAGGGUACUACGAGCAUUAGCUUAAAACCCAAAGGACCUGACGGUGUCUCAGAUCCCCCUAGAGGAGCCUGUUCUAGAACCGAUAACCCCCGUUCAACCUCACCACUUCUAGCCAACCCAGCCUAUAUACCGCCGUCGUCAGCUUACCCUGUGAAGGUAAUAAAAGUAAGCAAAAUGGGUACAACCCAAAACGUCAGGUCGAGGUGUAGCGCAUGAAGUGGGAAGAAAUGGGCUACAUUUUCUAACAUAGAAUAUUACGAACAUGCACCAUGAAACAGUGCUUGAAGGAGGAUUUAGUAGUAAAAGGGAAAUAGAGUGUCCCUUUGAACCCGGCUCUGAGACGCGUACACACCGCCCGUCACUCUCCCCUGUCAAAAUGCACCAAAAAUAUCUAAUAUAAUAGCACUGACAAGGGGAGGCAAGUCGUAACACGGUAAGUGUACCGGAAGGUGCACUUGGAUCAAACCCAGGGUGUGGCUGAG